GCCCAGUUGGCGCAGCUGGCUAGCGCGUUCCCUUGACAUGGGAAAGGUCACAGGUUCAAAUCCUGUACUGGGCACCA
RNAcentral lists this transfer RNA (77 nucleotides) under Elusimicrobia bacterium RIFOXYB2_FULL_62_6. RNAcentral's name for it is "tRNA-Val". It matches the Rfam family "tRNA". Rfam says of the family: Transfer RNA (tRNA) molecules are approximately 80 nucleotides in length. Their secondary structure includes four short double-helical elements and three loops (D, anti-codon, and T loops). The record is from RNAcentral. Lineage: Bacteria; Pseudomonadati; Elusimicrobiota.